UACGGCCACAGACCAUUGAAACAUCAAUUCUCAUCCGAUCACCGAAGUUAAGCAACGUCGAGCCAAUCAGUUUUGAGAUGGGUGAUUACUUGAUAAUACCAGGUGCUGUA
This is a non-coding RNA of Acanthosepion pharaonis, 110 nucleotides long. Lineage: Eukaryota; Metazoa; Mollusca; Cephalopoda; Sepiida; Sepiidae. The record is from the annotation of a GenBank genome assembly.